RNAcentral lists this long non-coding RNA (202 nucleotides) under Elaeis guineensis (African oil palm). RNAcentral describes it as "long non-coding RNA (EGUI_LNC059679)". Lineage: Eukaryota; Viridiplantae; Streptophyta; Magnoliopsida; Arecales; Arecaceae. The record is from RNAcentral.
UUUCUUUCACACCAUAAAGUCACAGCCCCACCCUUCACUGUGAAGACAUCAUUCUAAUUUCACACUUGCACGCACAAAAGAAAAGCUCCUUUUAUUUUGGGCGUCAAAAGGGUUAGGGUUGGAAUAGUCCAAAAGAAGUAGGCUCUUCAUGAGUUGUCGCCCCCUCUCGCAAAACCAACACCCAAAAAAUAUUGGACACCCC